Molecule: long non-coding RNA, 6183 nt
Organism: Numida meleagris (helmeted guineafowl)
Lineage: Eukaryota; Metazoa; Chordata; Aves; Galliformes; Numididae
Exons: 2
Source: RefSeq, a predicted model, not a curated record
CCAUGUCCCUCAGUGCCACAUCCACACGGUUCUUGAGCACCUCCAGGGACGGUGACUCCACCACCUCCCUGAGCAGCCUGUGCCAAUGCCUCAUCACUCUUUCUGAGAAGAAAUUGUUCCUAACAUGUAAAGGUUUUCUCCACAAAUAGUGUUUUGGUGCAAGUCAGAGAGAAGGAAGGCUCUAUGGUGAUGGUCUGGCUCUAGGAAUUUGCUUCAGACAGCUGUGAGUGGCUUAGUAAAAGGUAGGAGGGGGAAAAAGCAGCAGCCCCCAACCUCUGAAUAGGGGAAUAAUGCUGCAAGAGGGAAAAGACCGAGUGAAUGAACCUUCACACCCAAUCUCCUGUUUCUCCCAGAGACUGGAAACCUUUCUGAGGGAGCUGACACUUAACCUACUACCAAUGUCAGCUGUUCUGUGCUCUGUUUUUUAAGGAAAGCCAGGCUGCACUAGGAGGUGUCACCUGCAGUACUAGUGUGUGAGGCUUGGCUGUAAGGCCUGCAAGUUUUGCUCAUUUCUGUCCCAUAAGUGGUCACCCAAUAUGUACGGUAUAUUCUCUUUCGUGCCAGUGCGAGAGAUUUCGUCCUCUUUGAUAAACCAUCAUUCAGUCAUAGCAAGGAACUGUCAUCCUAAUGACCUGUGUUAAUUAAAAAUCUAAUAGCUCUUUCUCAGGAGAAAGUUAGUUAGUUCCAGUGUUUUCCUAAGGUAAUUAUAUUCAGCCAGGCUAGCACCCUCCCCUGUAGUUUCACUACUGCUCACUUUCUUUGAACUCCUGCAUGCUGCUGCACCACAUCAUUUUGUUGUGUUCCACUCCAUCAUUUCAAAAUUGGUAUAUUUUUAUUUGUUUUGGUAUAUUGCAUAUUUGUUUCAAAGCCUGGCAAAAGUUUCAGAGUCUCGAAUUCACUGCCUUGUAGCACCGCGUUGUAAUGGAGAAACUGUGACUCUUCAUCUCCCCUGUGUUCUAAAAUAGCAAGAGAUAAACAGGAAAAUGGGGAGACACAUUCUGCUUCAUAUUGUUUGGCUCUCCAGUCAGCUCAGCCUCUGAUAUUAAUAACUUCCUGUUUUGUUUUAAGCCUUCUGACAAGUGAGGAGCCUUCAUUUCUGCCUGAACUCCGGCACCCGAAUGGCCAGUGUGUUUCCAGGCUCUGAGCUAUGAAUUCCAGUUUUCUCCUUAUCUCUAGGCCAGAAUUUGAGAAUUGAAAGUCAAACUGAUGAAAAUUGUGUGCCCGAACCACCCAUGAGUUGCCAAAAUACAAAUGUCCUGGCUUUCAUGGCAGGUGUACACCUGCAGACCCCGUAAGUAGUCGUGGGACUUGAGAGGGCAGCAUCUGCAAAUCUGUCUGAUUUAGUGUAGGAUCAAAUGAGGAUCCUAACGUAAAACUCUGAACUCCUGUUCGUUUCUACGCAUGUGCUCAGAAAUGAGAAACAGAAAAGAGGAUCUGGAAAAAUGUGCAUUUGCCUAAUGUCGCUUGUGUACAAUGCUUGUAAAAUGCAGUGCACAUCAUUUGCAUCAUUUUUCACUUGCCUAAAUUUGUAAGAUGCUUUAUUUUCCAGGUUUCUGACAAAUUUUUCCUGUGAACUAUUUCCUGUGGAUAACACGCAGGAGAAGCAGAGUCCCCCAACAAGCCUGCUUCGUGUGUACUGCCUGUGACUGCUACGCUGUGUAGCCAGGAGCCAGCUCCUGACCGUGGUGUGCACUGGGGCAGCUUGAGCGCAGCAAUUCUAGGAGGGUUAAAAAUUAAACCAGCAACCAACAUCUAAAGCAGCACUGGAUUUAAAAGUCUGGCAAGGUCCAGCUGUGAGUUAAUUCAUUAGGUGCAGUUAAUAUUGCUAGGAGAGCUUGACAAAAGGAAGCAUGAAGCAACUGAAAAGAAACAUCCUUAAGGUGAAUGUCAAAGUUUUUGCAUCCAGCAAAGAAACAAAAAGCUGAAUACAGAAGAGAAAGCACUGGUUCCCAUUGAGUGGUUACAAAGGAAACAGUUGUACUACUACAGAGACCUGACUAGACAAUGAAUCUCAUGACUGGCUCAUAUCUCCUCCAGGACAAGAGAGAAACCCAGACCAGCUACAACGUCUGUUCAGACAUGCGGCACCCACUUUAUGACCAAGGAAGGAACUUCAUCAUCUGCACGUCUGGUGUGACCUACACAACGCAGCCAUGGGCUCCUGCUGCCUUGGGAGCAACCUCCCGAGGACAUGGUUCCAGCACACUCUCCUAGGCAAACGAUAGUUAAUUGUCAACACUAACAAGUGAGUUUCACAUUUCUAUGCCCAGUGUACAGACAGACAUCUUGGUCUCUGAAGUGUCUUGUACAGAGGGGGUGUGGAUCCUCAGCCACUGGCACUGCAGGCAGUGGGUCUGGUGGUGUGGGGCUCAGCUCCAGCUGUUGUCCCUCUGAGGCAGCGUCACCCUUCUCUCCCUCCUUUUGGAAAUGUGGAAUGCAAUGCCUACUGUUUGGGAUAAUCUUUGGUGGCACCACCUGUCCCUGCUGUAGCUGCUCCUUCCUACCCCUGGACCGCAGUGCAUUAUCUGUAUACUCAGCAGAGAACUCCCCCAGUUAGGACUUGUGUUUAUUUGGUGUUUUUUCUAAGCAGUAAGGAUGGGUCAACAGGCAGGAUUUAUUUUAGCUGGCAUUGCCAUUAAGGGCCUUUUUUAUGCAAUCAAGUGUCUCUUGUCGAGGUGCUGCUUCAGGAGAGUGUGGGAAACUCUCCUGGCACCACUGUUGCCAGUGGCACUGCUUUGCAGCAGCGGGAUCUGCAGGAGCAGGAGCAUCGUACCCCAGUGCUGGAGCUCGGCCAGGCUGCCUGCAGACAUCACACAUGGGGCAGUGGCUGCCCGUCCCCUCGGGAGCUGGGAGAUGGUGUCACCUGCCCACAGAGUACUCAGCACUGCUCGCAUUGGACACGGACAUUUUCAUAACUGGGAUGAAGAAACAGAUACGGUUUCCUGCUCUAGAGAGACUAUUUCUUCUGUGCCACUAGCCUGAGAUUGUUUGCUUGGCUUAGCCUGUGUUUUCACCAUAUGCAACAAGCCUUAACCACUUCAUUUGAGGCUGCUAUUCAUUUGGGGCCAAUAUGAAACAUUUCUGGCUUUUCUUUUUCAUUUUUUCUGGCCUAUACAUGUUGCUAAUCUAUCCCCUUGUCUACAUAUUCUUUCUUCUCUAACAUUUCAGGUCUCCUGGCUUGUAAUAUUUCAAAUCCUUGACUGCUUGCUGCUGCAGAUGGAGUAUUGGUUACCCUCCGUCAUCGGUCUGGCCGCGAGGACUUCCUGUGCUUGACAAGUUGAUUACUUCGUCAAGGUGAAUGUUCAGUCGAGUCUGUCUGGAGGACCUCUGUGUGUACGAUGCCAGCUGGUUUCUCAUCAGACACACUGUUUCACCAGACACAGAAUAAUAUUAGGAUAAAAACUGGGAUUUUGAAGGGCUUUUUUCCCUGCUUCCUUUCUGAGGUUGAUGUUGCUCCAGUUUAUCCCAAUAGGGUGUAGAUGGCUAACUCUCUAAAUGCAGCCAUCUUAUACAUGGAGAGCAAACCCAUCUGAUGAAAUGCCAUUGUCCUUCAUGUGUGGUUUUCCCUGGUCUGUAGGAAUCCCUAAAAGAGGUUAGAUGGUUUGCAAGCUGUAGCAUUAACAGUGCUUUCAGAUUGCCCAUUGUGUAUCAUCAAGGAAGCACAGUAAAACCCAAAUAAAUUAAAUGAAUUUCAUUGCAGUUCCUGAGGGAGAGCAGGAGAGAUUACUUGUGAGUUACAAGUCGGGUCAAGAGGGUUGGAUCUCCACAGAGAGGUUGCUGACACAGCUCAGGGGUAUCAUUGGGAAGGUAAGGAAGAGCAUCCAAACCUCUCUUAAUAGUCCUUUGUGGAUACAUUAUAGGAAGUGGCAUCCAGACAACAAUAGGUAUUAAGAAAUUGGGAAAUAACAGUAAGCAGCACAAAGUAAACAGCACAGGGAAAACAGCGUGUGCUUUCUGAGAAGGUAAGGAAACUGUGUCACAAUGCUGAGUGCUUUAGGAGAGAAAAUUCUCCUAACUGCCACAGCCAAACAUCACUUGGGACCAGGGUGUGAAUGACUCCUCUGUGGUACUGCUGGGAGAGUGUUGCAACUUCUUGGCAGGUUACAGAAAAUAGAAGGUUGGCCAGCAUCAUUAUCUGGUGGUACAGGAACAUUUGUUUCUCUAGCCACAUGUGGCUCUGUCUGACCAUCUUGGGUAUCCAAGCAGGCCAUUCAAAGGAAAACUCUGUAGGCUUGGUUUUCAAAGGAACCUAUUUCCCGUAAGUGUGAACUUUGUUUAUACAAGGAGAUAAAUCCUUGUUUACUCUUCUAGGAAUUCAUAUUUAUGGCAUAUUGUAGCAGAAAUAAUAAACAAAAGCAUGUUACAGUGGUGAGGUGAACCCAGGGAACAUGACAUCAACUGCCAAACCAGCAUCUGCAGCCAAACCAGCCCCUGGUGCAUCACGAGCACCAUCCCUGGCAGAUGUGGUCCUGGGGUUGCUCUCCUCAACAGAUCCCAUGUUGACAUCUCAGUGAGGAGAAGAAUCAUAGAAUCAUGGAAUAUCCUGAAUUGAAAGGGGCCCACAAGGACCAUCAACUUAACUCCUGGCUCCACACGGGAACACACGAAAUUCAAAUCCUACAUCUGCAAAUGUUGUCCAAACACUUCUCAAACUCCAGCAGCUUGAGGCCAUGCCCACUGCCCUGAGGAGCCUGUUCCAUGCCCACCGCCCUCCAGUGAAGAACCUUCUCCUAACACCCAGACUGACCCUCCUCUGGCACAGCUCCAUGCUGUUAAAGAACAAUGGAGCUGUUCCUGUGUCCUGCCAUAGCUGACAAGACAAGGAUGUGUUGCAGUCCCUGUAUAUUGAGCUAUUUCAGACCAUCUUUGUACAAAAGUGGAAGAAGAGCAAUACAUAGCCACUUUUCUUCCCUUGGAAAGGUAGAGGUGGGGGAGCAGGCUGCCAGACCUCCUGAGAAGCAGGGGCCUCCAUCAGGGCAUUUCCUAGCAGGAGGCAGGCAGAUCAUGCAUUCUCCUGUCAUUUAUUCCCCGACAAGUAUUUUCUUUGCUUCCUCAAGGCCCAGAGCCAGGAGGGCCAGCACUGGCAACACAUCCUGGUUCAUAGCCAGGGACGCAGCAGUGUCCUGCUGAGAGCAGUGGCCCAGGGCUGGGCACGCAGCAUCCAUCCCUCCCCUGGAGACUGGUUUUUGCUGAGGGAUGCAAGGUAACCUCAGCAUUGAAAAUAGCUGGGAUGGUGGCCAGCGAAGAUUUAUGGCAUCAUUAACAUCCCCAGUUUAUUUAUAGGUUUAAAAAAGUCUCCAACCUGUAAACAGAGCAGAGUUAUGCUGCGUAAUGCAGAGAAUCACAGGUUUGCCUCCUUCCCACUCCUCUUAUUUCAUCCUGGUUGUUGAGACUGUAAAACCCCUGGGGCAGGACUGGCUCAUUGCAAACUUACGUUAUAAACCUUCUCAAUGAGGGGGAUAUGCACUGUUGGUUUUUUUCCAUGCAUGCUAUAUUUGUCCGGUCUCCCUUCUCCAUUCAACCCUUUCUGUGCUUUGUCCUGUGGCCCCUGUUAUGGAAAAUUCUCUUUUUGAAGAAUUCCUGAGGCCCAGGUUGGGCAGUCAUCACAGGAGUUAGUGAUUUUCUGCCUUGGGCAUUAAGCUGUAAGCACUGUGUGAGGAGGAUUGAGAAUCUUGUAGCUGUGGAGAGCACCCUAGCUCACCCUAGCAUGGCCCCAGUGAAGUGUGCAGAUGUUAUUAAUGACCCUGGGGUCUUCCUAUGGGCACUCAGAGCCACUCAGUUCCCAGGUUCUUGAGGAACUUGCAGGACUCUCAGGAAAAGAAAAAGCACUCCGCGUGUAGGCCCCAGGAUGUGAGUUUUCAGCACAUGAGCUGCAGCCACACCACCUGGCCCAUCUCCAGGAGCUCAGGACAAGGUAAGGUAGGAAGGAGGCCUGUUGGCAGCUGGCAACAGGGGUCUGCUGUGUAACUGGGGGAGCUGCAGAGGUGUAUGGAUGGAGGGGGAAAGAAAAAUGCAAGAACGGACCCCUCCAGAAACACAGUGUGUCACCUUAUGGAGAUGUGUUUUGGAGGGCAACCACCGUUCAUUUUACUGUUUGUGAUGUGUUAAUCUGAGUUGUACUCCUGUGGCUGUCUAGGCCUUCUGUCUUCUAGGGGGUAAAAUAAAGAAUUGGCAUAGAACUGA